CCUACUACCACCAACUACCACCUACUACCAAACCCAGUUCAAACCGGUACGCCUGGCACCUACUACCACCUACUACCAAACCCAGUUCAAACCGGUACGCCUGGCACCUACUACCACCUACUACCACUUACUACCGUACCCUGUUCAACGUCUCUUAAAGCCACACACCUCCAUGUCUAAAAGCUUAUAAAUCCUUCUUUAACCCGUCUCCCCUUCAUCUACACUGAUUUUGAAGUGGAUUUAACAAGUGACAUCAAUAAUGGAUCAUAGCUUUUACCUGGUCAGUCUGUCAUGGAAAGAGAAAGGGUGUUCUUAAUGUUUUGUCAACCCGGUGUCUGUUUAGUUCUCCUCUUUCUCACCUUGUUUGUUUCAAAAUGUCACUAUAUAUAGAUUCAUGAUGAGUGUCUGUUUGAGGAGGAGUCCUGAUCUCGAUGCAGCAGGACGUGAUAUACCAAAUCGAGUGUAAAUGAACCAGUCAGUGUGAAAAACACUCAAUGAUUAAAAAAAUAAAGUUAUUUAAACUUUGA
This is a long non-coding RNA of Oncorhynchus keta (chum salmon), 527 nucleotides long. RefSeq lists it as uncharacterized. The transcript has 2 exons. The record is from RefSeq and is a predicted model, not a curated record. NCBI's taxonomy places the organism in Eukaryota, Metazoa, Chordata, Actinopteri, Salmoniformes, Salmonidae.